RNAcentral lists this ribosomal RNA (728 nucleotides) under uncultured bacterium. Its description in RNAcentral is "bacterial SSU rRNA". It matches the Rfam family "Bacterial small subunit ribosomal RNA", at positions 139 to 882 of the family's 1533-position model. The record is from RNAcentral.
GGGGACAACAGUUGGAAACGACUGCUAAUACCGCAUGACGCUUCUGGGGGCAUCCCCGAGAAGUCAAAGCUUUAUGUGCUGAAAGAUGGCUUCGCGUCUGAUUAGCUAGAUGGCGGGGUAACGGCCCACCAUGGCGACGAUCAGUAGCCGGUCUGAGAGGAUGAACGGCCACAUUGGGACUGAGAUACGGCCCAGACUCCUACGGGAGGCAGCAGUGGGGAAUAUUGGGCAAUGGGGGAAACCCUGACCCAGCAACGCCGCGUGAAGGAAGAAGGCCUUCGGGUUGUAAACUUCUUUUACCAGGGACGAAGGACGUGACGGUACCUGGAGAAAAAGCAACGGCUAACUACGUGCCAGCAGCCGCGGUAAUACGUAGGUUGCAAGCGUUGUCCGGAUUUACUGGGUGUAAAGGGCGUGUAGGCGGAGAUGCAAGUCGGGAGUGAAAUCCAUGGGCUCAACCCAUGAACUGCUUUCGAAACUGUAUCCCUUGAGUAUCGGAGAGGCAAGCGGAAUUCCUAGUGUAGCGGUGAAAUGCGUAGAUAUUAGGAGGAACACCAGUGGCGAAGGCGGCUUGCUGGACGACAACUGACGCUGAGGCGCGAAAGCGUGGGGAGCAAACAGGAUUAGAUACCCUGGUAGUCCACGCUGUAAACGAUGAAUACUAGGUGUGGGAGGACUGACCCCUUCCGUGCCGCAGUUAACACAAUAAGUAUUCCACCUGGGGAGUA